This 85-nucleotide microRNA precursor is filed under the name Marmota monax (woodchuck). Lineage: Eukaryota; Metazoa; Chordata; Mammalia; Rodentia; Sciuridae. The record is from RNAcentral.
CAGUUUCUGUUCAUUUUGCCUUUUGGUCACUAAUUUUGAAAUAUUAUUGGAAAUAAACACCAAAAGGCAAAAUGAAUAGAAUCUG